AGCGAACGCUGGCGGCAUGCUUAACACAUGCAAGUCGCACGAAGGUUUCGGCCUUAGUGGCGGACGGGUGAGGAACGCGUAGGAAUCUAUCCAUGGGUGGGGGAUCACACUGGGAAAGUGGUGCUAAUACCGCAUGAUACCUGAGGGUCAAAGGCGCAAGUCGCCUGUGGAGGAGCCUGCGUUCGAUUAGGUAGUUGGUGGGGAAAAGGACCACCAAGGCGAUGAUCGAUAGCUGGUUUGAGAGGAUGAUCAGCCACACUGGGACUGAGACACGGCCCAGAAUCCUACGGGAGGCAGCAGUGGUGAAUAUUGUACAAUGUGAGCGACCCUGAUCCAGCAAUGUCGCGUGUGUGAAGAAGGUCUUCGGAUUGUAAAGCGCUUUCGACUGGGACGAUGAUGACGGUACCCGUAGAAGAAGCCCCGGCUAACUUCGUGCCAGCCGCCGCGGUAA
RNAcentral lists this ribosomal RNA (451 nucleotides) under uncultured bacterium. RNAcentral's name for it is "partial 16S ribosomal RNA". It matches the Rfam family "Bacterial small subunit ribosomal RNA", at positions 29 to 523 of the family's 1533-position model. The record is from RNAcentral.